AUUGAACGCUGGCGGCAUGCCUUACACAUGCAAGUCGAACGGCAGCGGGGGAGAAGCUUGCUUUUCCUGCCGGCGAGUGGCGAACGGGUGAGUAAUACAUCGGAACGUGCCCUGUAGUGGGGGAUAACUAGUCGAAAGAUUAGCUAAUACCGCAUACGACCUGAGGGUGAAAGUGGGGGACCGCAAGGCCUCAUGCUAUAGGAGCGGCCGAUGUCUGAUUAGCUAGUUGGUGGGGUAAAGGCCUACCAAGGCGACGAUCAGUAGCUGGUCUGAGAGGACGAUCAGCCACACGGGGACUGAGACACGGCCCAGACUCCUACGGGAGGCAGCAGUGGGGAAUUUUGGACAAUGGGCGAAAGCCUGAUCCAGCAGUGCCGCGUGUGUGAAGAAGGCCUUCGGGUUGUAAAGCACUUUUGUCCGGAAAGAAAUGGCUCUGGUUAAUACCUGGGGUCGAUGACGGUACCGGAAGAAUAAGGACCGGCUAACUACGUGCCAGCAGCCGCCGUAA
Molecule: ribosomal RNA, 508 nt
Filed under: uncultured bacterium
Lineage: Bacteria
Description: partial 16S ribosomal RNA
Rfam family: Bacterial small subunit ribosomal RNA
Source: RNAcentral